Molecule: ribosomal RNA, 473 nt
Filed under: uncultured bacterium
Lineage: Bacteria
Description: SSU rRNA
Rfam family: Bacterial small subunit ribosomal RNA
Source: RNAcentral
AGAUUGAACGCUAGCGGCGUGCCUAACACAUGCAAGUCGAGCGGUAACAGGUGUAGCAAUACAUGCUGACGAGCGGCGAACGGGUGAGUAAUGCUUUGGAAUCUUCCCAGUAGUGGGGAAUAACCAGUCGAAAGAUUGGCUAAUACCGCAUACGUCUGUAAAGGGAAAGCGGGGGCUCGUAAGACCUCGCGCUAUUGGAUGAGCCAAAGUCGGAUUAGCUAGUUGGUGGGGUAAUGGCCUACCAAGGCGACAAUCCGUAGCUGGUCUGAGAGGACGACCAGCCACACCGGAACUGAGACACGGUCCGGACUCCUACGGGAGGCAGCAGUGGGGAAUAUUGGACAAUGGGGGAAACCCUGAUCCAGCGACGCCGCGUGUGUGAAGAGGCCUGCGGUGUAAACCUCUUUAGUAGGAAGAAGCGAAAGUGACGGUACCUGCAGAAAAGCACCGGCUAACUACGUGCCAGCAGCCGC